Molecule: ribosomal RNA, 495 nt
Filed under: uncultured bacterium
Lineage: Bacteria
Description: bacterial SSU rRNA
Rfam family: Bacterial small subunit ribosomal RNA
Source: RNAcentral
AUUGAACGCUGGCGGCGUGCUUAACACAUGCAAGUCGAGCGGUAACAGGUGUAGCAAUACAUGCUGACGAGCGGCGAACGGGUGAGUAAUGCUUCGGAAUCUUCCUCGUAGUGGGGAAUAACCUGGGGAAACUCAGGCUAAUACCGCAUACGAACUACGGUUGAAAGCAGGGGAUCGCAAGACCUUGCGCUAUGAGAUGAGCCGAAGUCGGAUUAGCUAGUUGGUGAGGUAAAGGCUCACCAAGGCGACGAUCCGUAGCGGGUCUGAGAGGAUGAUCCGCCACACUGGGACUGAGACACGGCCCAGACUCCUACGGGAGGCAGCAGUGGGGAAUUUUGGACAAUGGGCGAAAGCCUGAUCCAGCCAUGCCGCGUGUCUGAAGAAGGCCUUCGGGUUGUAAAGGACUUUAGUCUAGGGAGCGAAAACUUAACUGGUUAAUACCGGUGAGGCGUGAGAGUACCUGAAGAAUAAGACACCGGCUAACUACGUAGCCAG